CCUACACGACCGUACCGCAAACCGACACUGGUGCGCGAGAUGAGUAUUCUAAGGCGCUUGAGAGAACUCAGGAGAAGGAACUCGGCAAAUUGACACCGUAACUUCGGAAGAAGGUGUGCCUUUAGUAGGUGAAGUCCCUCGCGGAUGGAGCCCAAUGAGGUUGCAAAAAAUCGGUGGCUGCGACUGUUUAUUAAAAACACAGCACUCUGCAAACACGAAAGUGGACGUAUAGGGUGUGACGCCUGCCCGGUGCUGGAAGAUUAAAUGAUGGGGUGCAAGCUCUUGAUUGAAGUCCCAGUAAACGGCGGCCGUAACAAUAACGGUCCUAAGGUAGCGAAAUUCCUUGUCGGGUAAGUUCCGACCUGCACGAAUGGCGUAACGAUGGCCACUGUCUCCUCCUGAGACUCAGCGAAGUUGAAAUGUUUGUGAUGAUGCAAUCUCCCCGCGGAAAGACGGAAAGACCCCAUGAACCUUUACUGUAGCUUUGUAUUGGACUUUGAACAGAUCUGUGUAGGAUAGGUGGGAGGCUUUGAAGCAGGGUCGCUAGAUCUUGUGGAGCCAACGUUGAAAUACCACCCUGGUGUGUUUGAGGUUCUAACCUAGGCCCGUAAUCCGGGUUGGGGACAGUGCAUGGUAGGCAGUUUGACUGGGGCGGUCUCCUCCCAAAGUGUAACGGAGGAGUUCGAAGGUACGCUAGUUACGGUCGGACAUCGUGACGAUAGUGCAAUGGCAUAAGCGUGCUUAACUGCGAGACUGACAAGUCGAGCAGAUGCGAAAGCAGGACAUAGUGAUCCGGUGGUUCUGUAUGGAAGGGCCAUCGCUCAACGGAUAAAAGGUACUCUGGGGAUAACAGGCUGAUACCGCCCAAGAGUUCAUAUCGACGGCGGUGUUUGGCACCUCGAUGUCGGCUCAUCUCAUCCUGGGGCUGUAGCCGGUCCCAAGGGUAUGGCUGUUCGCCAUUUAAAGAGGUACGUGAGCUGGGUUUAAAACGUCGUGAGACAGUUUGGUCCCUAUCUUCCGUGGGCGCUGCAGAUUUGAGGAAGCCUGCUCCUAGUACGAGAGGACCGGAGUGGACGCACCUCUGGUGUAUCGGUUGUCACGCCAGUGGCAUUGCCGAGUAGCUAUGUGCGGAAGAGAUAACCGCUGAAAGCAUCUAAGCGGGAAACUCGUUUCAAGAUGAGAUCUGCCGGGGCCUUGAGCCCCCUGAAGAGUCGUUCAAGACCAGGACGUUGAUAGGUCGGGUGUGGAAGCGCAGUAAUGCGUUAAGCUAACCGAUACUAAUUGCUCGUGCGGCUUGACCU
RNAcentral lists this ribosomal RNA (1301 nucleotides) under metagenome. RNAcentral's name for it is "bacterial LSU rRNA". It matches the Rfam family "Bacterial large subunit ribosomal RNA", at positions 1633 to 2925 of the family's 2925-position model. The record is from RNAcentral.